CCUACGGGAGGCAGCAGUGAGGAAUAUUGGUCAAUGGACGAGAGUCUGAACCAGCCAAGUAGCGUGAAGGAUGACUGCCCUAUGGGUUGUAAACUUCUUUUAUAUGGGAAUAAAAUGUUCCACGUGUGGGAUUUUGUAUGUACCAUAUGAAUAAGGAUCGGCUAACUCCGUGCCAGCAGCCGCGGUAAUACGGAGGAUCCGAGCGUUAUCCGGAUUUAUUGGGUUUAAAGGGAGCGUAGGUGGAUUGUUAAGUCAGUUGUGAAAGUGUGCGGCUCAACCGGUAAAUUGCAGUUGAAACUGGCAGUCUUGAGUACAGUAGAGGUGGGCGGAAUUCGGGGUGUAGCGGUGAAAUGCUUAGAUAUCACGAAGAACUCCGAUUGCGAAGGCAGUUCACUGGACUGCAACUGACACUGAGGCUCGAAAGUGUGGGUAUCAAACAGGAUUAGAUACCCGAGUAGUC
Molecule: ribosomal RNA, 460 nt
Filed under: uncultured bacterium
Lineage: Bacteria
Description: partial 16S ribosomal RNA
Rfam family: Bacterial small subunit ribosomal RNA
Source: RNAcentral